Molecule: ribosomal RNA, 484 nt
Filed under: uncultured bacterium
Lineage: Bacteria
Description: partial 16S ribosomal RNA
Rfam family: Bacterial small subunit ribosomal RNA
Source: RNAcentral
AUUGAACGCUGGCGGCAGGCCUAACACAUGCAAGUCGAGCGGAUGAAGGGAGCUUGCUCCUGGAUUCAGCGGCGGACGGGUGAGUAAUGCCUAGGAAUCUGCCUGGUAGUGGGGGAUAACGUCCGGAAACGGGCGCUAAUACCGCAUACGUCCUGAGGGAGAAAGUGGGGGAUCUUCGGACCUCACGCUAUCAGAUGAGCCUAGGUCGGAUUAGCUAGUUGGUGGGGUAAAGGCCUACCAAGGCGACGAUCCGUAACUGGUCUGAGAGGAUGAUCAGUCACACUGGAACUGAGACACGGUCCAGACUCCUACGGGAGGCAGCAGUGGGGAAUAUUGGACGAUGGGCGAAAGCCUGAUCCAGCCAUGUCGCGUGUGUGAAGAAGGUCUUCGGAUUGUAAAGCACUUUAAGUUGGGAGGAAGGGCAGUAAGUUAAUACCUUGCUGUUUUGACGUUACCAACAGAAUAAGCACCGGCUAACUUCGUG